GGGGAAUAUUGGGCAAUGGGCGAAAGCCUGACCCAGCAACGCCGCGUGAAGGAAGAAGGCUUUCGGGUUGUAAACUUCUUUGACAGGGGACGAAACAAAUGACGGUACCCUGAAAACAAGCCACGGCUAACUACGUGCCAGCAGCCGCGGUAAUACGUAGGUGGCAAGCGUUAUCCGGAUUUACUGGGUGUAAAGGGCGUGUAGGCGGGAUUACAAGUCAGAUGUGAAAACUAUGGGCUCAACCCACAGCCUGCAUUUGAAACUGUAGUUCUUGAGUGAUGGAGAGGCAGACGGAAUUCCUCGUGUAGCGGUGAAAUGCGUAGAUAUGAGGAGGAACACCAGUGGCGAAGGCGGUCUGCUGGACAUUAACUGACGCUGAGGCGCGAAAGCGUGGGGAGCAAAC
This 403-nucleotide ribosomal RNA is filed under the name uncultured bacterium. RNAcentral describes it as "bacterial SSU rRNA". It matches the Rfam family "Bacterial small subunit ribosomal RNA", at positions 356 to 773 of the family's 1533-position model. The record is from RNAcentral.